RNAcentral lists this ribosomal RNA (676 nucleotides) under uncultured bacterium. RNAcentral's name for it is "bacterial SSU rRNA". It matches the Rfam family "Bacterial small subunit ribosomal RNA", at positions 8 to 663 of the family's 1533-position model. The record is from RNAcentral.
AGAGUUUGAUCAUGGCUCAGAUUGAACGCUGGCGGCAGGCCUAACACAUGCAAGUCGAGCGGCAGCGACAACAUUGAACCUUCGGGGGAUUUGUUGGGCGGCGAGCGGCGGACGGGUGAGUAAUGCCUAGGAAAUUGCCCUGAUGUGGGGGAUAACCAUUGGAAACGAUGGCUAAUACCGCAUGAUGCCUACGGGCCAAAGAGGGGGACCUUCGGGCCUCUCGCGUCAGGAUAUGCCUAGGUGGGAUUAGCUAGUUGGUGAGGUAAGGGCUCACCAAGGCGACGAUCCCUAGCUGGUCUGAGAGGAUGAUCAGCCACACUGGAACUGAGACACGGUCCAGACUCCUACGGGAGGCAGCAGUGGGGAAUAUUGCACAAUGGGCGCAAGCCUGAUGCAGCCAUGCCGCGUGUAUGAAGAAGGCCUUCGGGUUGUAAAGUACUUUCAGUAGGGAGGAAGGUUCAUGCGUUAAUAGCGUAUGGAUUUGACGUUACCUACAGAAGAAGCACCGGCUAACUCCGUGCCAGCAGCCGCGGUAAUACGGAGGGUGCGAGCGUUAAUCGGAAUUACUGGGCGUAAAGCGCAUGCAGGUGGUUAGUUAAGUCAGAUGUGAAAGCCCGGGGCUCAACCUCGGAAUUGCAUUUGAAACUGGCUGACUAGAGUACUGUAGAGGGGGGGU